This 229-nucleotide ribosomal RNA is filed under the name uncultured bacterium. RNAcentral's name for it is "partial 16S ribosomal RNA". It matches the Rfam family "Bacterial small subunit ribosomal RNA", at positions 111 to 334 of the family's 1533-position model. The record is from RNAcentral.
UAACGCGUAGGUAACCUGCCUUGUAGCGGGGGAUAACUAUUGGAAACGAUAGCUAAUACCGCAUAACAAUGGGUGACUCAUGUCAUUUAUUUGAAAAGGGGCAAAUGCUCCACUACAAGAUGGACCUGCGUUGUAUUAGCUAGUAGGUGAGGUAACGGCUCACCUAGGCGACGAUACAUAGCCGACCUGAGAGGGUGAUCGGCCACACUGGGACUGAGACACGGCCCAG